RNAcentral lists this long non-coding RNA (465 nucleotides) under Nicotiana benthamiana. RNAcentral's name for it is "long non-coding RNA (NBEN_LNC034382)". The record is from RNAcentral. Lineage: Eukaryota; Viridiplantae; Streptophyta; Magnoliopsida; Solanales; Solanaceae.
GUAGAACCCACUUCUCUAUGCUGAAUAGUAGAAAGGGGAACAAUGGAAGGAGGAACGGAAGAAGAAGCGAAAAUAGCAGGAGGAAGAGUUGAAGCAGUUGAAACAGGUAAGGCAACAGGAACAGACAAAGCAGGCAAGGAAGAAUUUACAGGUAAGGAAGAAUGGAAAGAACUGGAGUUGAAAAAGAAGAAAAGGGAAUCUCAUCUAAAACCAGACCUAACUCGCCACUUUCGAAACCCCCAACAAAAAGCCGAUGAAUGGACUCAUCAAUGUCCUUAGGGGUGGUCUCGUCAUCAGAAACAAGGUGAACGGGCUCGUUAGUGGAGGUACGAGAAGGCGAAAUCUCAGCCUCAUCCUCACAUAUAAUGCGCCUCCUAGCUCUUGGUCUAGUUAUUAAUGAGCUAUCUUCGUCCCCUUCCUCCUUAGAAUCCUCUUCAAUGAUUUUUCUCUUUGUUUAAGUAUCUU